UACAGAGGGUGCAAGCGUUAAUCGGAAUUACUGGGCGUAAAGCGCACGUAGGCGGUCGGGCAAGUCGGGUGUGAAAUCCCUGGGCUUAACCUAGGAAUUGCAUUCGAUACUGCUUGGCUAGAGUUUGGUAGAGGGUGGCGGAAUUCCAGGUGUAGCGGUGAAAUGCGUAGAUAUCUGGAGGAACAUCAGUGGCGAAGGCGGCCACCUGGACCAAAACUGACGCUGAGGUGCGAAAGCGUGGGGAGCAAACAGG
RNAcentral lists this ribosomal RNA (253 nucleotides) under uncultured bacterium. RNAcentral's name for it is "partial 16S ribosomal RNA". It matches the Rfam family "Bacterial small subunit ribosomal RNA", at positions 524 to 776 of the family's 1533-position model. The record is from RNAcentral.